ACAAUUGUUUUCACUUAUGUUAUAUAAAUAUUAUAAAAUUUGAAUCUUGUGAGACUCUAACCUCAAUCGCACAACGUACAUCUCGUGCAUUAGGCGCGCUUUCCCCUAGUGGAUGCUAUAAUGACGAAAGAGAGAUGUUGUUUUCUUGCAACUUGACUUUAAUCAGGAUUCUGCCAAUUAUUCUUACAUCAUUCGGACAACUGUUCUUCUUAAAAUUUAAAAGAACGCAAAGAAUAACUGAAGUUUAUAAAAGUUGAAGAAAUUUUCACAAGGAUUAGAACAGCCUGCGACCACAUCAUCGGCAGAAAACUGAACUCAAAUGGAAGCGCUUGCACUCAUGUCACUAUCAUGUCCUGACAAUUUCGGAUUUUAUAAAACUAUAGGAGACGUGAUUGACG
This 398-nucleotide long non-coding RNA is filed under the name Monomorium pharaonis (pharaoh ant). RNAcentral describes it as "uncharacterized LOC118648690, transcript variant X1". Lineage: Eukaryota; Metazoa; Arthropoda; Insecta; Hymenoptera; Formicidae. The record is from RNAcentral.